Molecule: unclassified non-coding RNA, 352 nt
Filed under: soil metagenome
Description: partial contains 5.8S ribosomal RNA, internal transcribed spacer 2, and large subunit ribosomal RNA
Rfam family: 5.8S ribosomal RNA (bases 1-120)
Source: RNAcentral
GAUGAAGAACGUAGCGAAAUGCGAUAAGUAGUGUGAAUUGCAGAAUUCAGUGAAUCAUCGAAUCUUUGAACGCACAUUGCGCCCUUCGGUAUUCCGUUGGGCAUGCCUGUUCGAGCGUCAUUACAACCCUCAGGCCCCCGGGCCUGGCGUUGGGGAUCGGCGGAGCCCCCCGUGGGCACACGCCGUCCCCCAAAUACAGUGGCGGUCCCGCCGCAGCUUCCAUCGCGUAGUAGCUAACACCUCGCGACUGGAGAGCGGCGCGGCCACGCCGUAAAACACCCAACUCUUCUGAAGUUGACCUCGAAUCAGGUAGGAAUACCCGCUGAACUUAAGCAUAUCAAUAAGCGGAGGA